ACGGGUGAGUAACGCGUGGGAAUCUACCUUUUGCUACGGAAUAACUCAGGGAAACUUGUGCUAAUACCGUAUGUGCCCUUCGGGGAAAGAUUUAUCGGCAAAGGAUGAGCCCGCGUUGGAUUAGCUAGUUGGUGGGGUAAAGGCCUACCAAGGCGACGAUCCAUAGCUGGUCUGAGAGGAUGAUCAGCCACACUGGGACUGAGACACGGCCCAGACUCCUACGGGAGGCAGCAGUGGGGAAUAUUGGACAAUGGGCGCAAGCCUGAUCCAGCCAUGCCGCGUGAGUGAUGACGGUCUUAGGAUUGUAAAGCUCUUUCACCGGUGAAGAUAAUGACGGUAACCGGAGAAGAAGCCCCGGCUAACUUCGUGCCAGCAGCCGCGGUAAUACGAAGGGGGCUAGCGUUGUUCGGAUUUACUGGGCGUAAAGCGCACGUAGGCGGACUUUUAAGUCAGGGGUGAAAUCCCAGAGCUCAACUCUGGAACUGCCUUUGAUACUGGAAGUCUUGAGUAUGGUAGAGGUGAGUGGAAUUCCGAGUGUAGAGGUGAAAUUCGUAGA
RNAcentral lists this ribosomal RNA (556 nucleotides) under uncultured Ochrobactrum sp. RNAcentral describes it as "bacterial SSU rRNA". It matches the Rfam family "Bacterial small subunit ribosomal RNA", at positions 102 to 694 of the family's 1533-position model. Lineage: Bacteria; Pseudomonadati; Pseudomonadota; Alphaproteobacteria; Hyphomicrobiales; Brucellaceae. The record is from RNAcentral.